Molecule: transfer RNA, 69 nt
Filed under: Ictidomys tridecemlineatus (thirteen-lined ground squirrel)
Lineage: Eukaryota; Metazoa; Chordata; Mammalia; Rodentia; Sciuridae
Description: Spermophilus tridecemlineatus (thirteen-lined ground squirrel) tRNA
Rfam family: tRNA
About the family: Transfer RNA (tRNA) molecules are approximately 80 nucleotides in length. Their secondary structure includes four short double-helical elements and three loops (D, anti-codon, and T loops).
Source: Rfam by way of RNAcentral
GGAAUUGUGGCUCGGUGGUAGAGCGCUUGCCUAGCAUGCUCGAUGCCCUGGGUUCAAUCCCCAGCAUCA